CAUCAGACGCAAUCUGCCGCAAAUAUGUUUGCGGUUUUCCGUAUUUGACUGGAUACCUUGUUGCGAAACGCCAAGCUAAUACAUGAGUCGAAUGGGUGUUCUCCGAUCCAAUGUGGGCCAGGGCUUCGGCCUGAAACCCGCAGUGAGACGCCUGGCGAAUGAAUGAGAUUAAAACCAAUGCCAUGUUCCCAUGGCAGUAUAUUUCAACCACAGAAGUGUUGAACCAAUUCAUUCCGUGCGAAAGCUGGUUUACCAGCGUCUUUUGACGAACAACUGCCCUAUCAGCCAGAUGGCCGUGUAGUGGACUGCCAUGGCGUUGACGGGAGCGGGGGAUUAGGGUUCGAUUCCGGAGAGGGAGCCUGAGAAAUGGCUACCACUUCUACGGAGGGCAGCAGGCGCGCAAAUUGCCCAAUGCCAAAAAAUUGGUGAGGCAGCAAAAAGAAAUAGGCCUCCUUAGCACCUUUCCGGUGUUUGGGAGAUUCCAAUGGGGGAUAUCUACACCCAUCCAAAAUCGAGUAUCCAUUGGAGGACAAGUCUGGUGCCAGCACCCGCGGUAAUUCCAGCUCCAAGAGCGUAUAUUAACGCUGUUGCUGUUAAAGGGUUCGUAG
RNAcentral lists this ribosomal RNA (608 nucleotides) under uncultured bodonid. Its description in RNAcentral is "bacterial SSU rRNA". It matches the Rfam family "Eukaryotic small subunit ribosomal RNA", at positions 104 to 633 of the family's 1831-position model. Lineage: Eukaryota; Euglenozoa; Kinetoplastea; Eubodonida; Bodonidae. The record is from RNAcentral.